AUGGCUUCCGGCGCCGGUUCAUGCUUGGCCCUGGUGGUGCUGCUCCUCGCCGCCCGCGCCUUCCCGGCGGCCGCCACCAGCUUCACCGUCGGCGGCAAGUCCGGCUGGACGAUCGGCGUCGACUACACCACCUGGGCCAGCGGCAACACUUUCAAAGUCGGCGACAGUCUCGUGUUCAACUACGCCAAGGGUCUCCACACGGUGGCGGAGGUGAGCGCGGCCGACUACCUGGCGUGCGCGGCGGCCAACGCGGUCGGCUCCGACGCCAGCGGCGCGACCACCGUGCCCCUCAAGACCGCCGGAAAGCACUACUUUAUCUGCACCAUCACAGGCCACUGCGCUGGCGGGAUGAAGCUCGAGGUGACUGUCUCCGGCUCCGGCUCUGGCUCCUCACCGUCAACCCCGAUGCCCACCCCGACCACGCCGUACACGAGUCCGACCCCGACGACGACGACGCCGACCACGCCGUACACGACCCCUACAACGCCAUACACGACGCCGACGUCUCCAGCGUGCACUGGCACCACGCCUGGCGCGACGCCGCUGACACCGGUGUCCCCAGGCACCAUGCCGUUCUAUUAUUACAAUGGCGCCGCCGAGUUCCCGCCGGCGGCGUGGGCUAGCUUUUCUCUGGUUUGUGCCGCGGUUGUGCAGCUCGGACUGUUAUGA
Molecule: ribosomal RNA, 669 nt
Filed under: Triticum aestivum (bread wheat)
Lineage: Eukaryota; Viridiplantae; Streptophyta; Magnoliopsida; Poales; Poaceae
Description: partial small subunit ribosomal RNA
Source: RNAcentral